AGAGUUUGAUCCUGGCUCAGAGUGAACGCUGGCGGCGUGGAUUAGGCAUGCAAGUCGAGCGAUCCAGCACUAAUUUUUUGGUGGUAGUAAUAUCGCUGGAAAAUUAGGGCUGGAUAGCGGCAAACGGGUGCGUAACGCGUGAGUAACUUACCUCUAUACCGAGGAUAGCCUCGCGAAAGCGAGAGUAAUACUUAAUGUGUCCAAUUUUUCGAUGAAGAGUUGGGUAAAGACUUCUGCAAGGAAGGUGUAUAGAGAUGGGCUCGCGUCCUAUCAGCUAGUUGGUAGGGUAAUGGCCUACCAAGGCGAUUGACGGGUAGCUGGCCUGAGAGGGUGGUCAGCCACACGGGGAUUGAGAUACUGCCCCGACUCCUACGGGAGGCUGCAGUCGAGCAUCUUUAGCAAUGGGCGAAAGCCUGACUAUGCGACGCCGCGUGAGGGAUGAAGAUCUUCGGAUCGUAAACCUCUUUCGAUCGGGAAGAAGCCCAGCCCAUUUAUAAUGGGCUGGGUUGACGGUACCGAUAUAAGAAGCCACGGCUAACUCCGUGCCAGCAGCCGCGGUAAUACGGAGGUGGCGAGCGUUACUCGGAAUUACUGGGUGUAAAGGGCAGGUAGGUGUCCUAACAAGUUUUAGGUGAAAUCCUUUCGCUUAACGAAAGAACUGCCUAAAAAACUGUUAGGAUUGAGGCUAGAAGAGGAGAACGGAAUUCCCGGUGUAAGGGUGAAAUCUGUAGAUAUCGGGAGGAACACCAGUGGCGAAGGCGGUUCUCUGGUCUAGUCCUGACACUGAGCUGCGAAAGCUAGGGGAGCAAACAGGAUUAGAUACCCUGGUAGUCC
This 834-nucleotide ribosomal RNA is filed under the name uncultured bacterium. Its description in RNAcentral is "bacterial SSU rRNA". It matches the Rfam family "Bacterial small subunit ribosomal RNA", at positions 8 to 796 of the family's 1533-position model. The record is from RNAcentral.